This 394-nucleotide ribosomal RNA is filed under the name uncultured Spumella. Its description in RNAcentral is "partial small subunit ribosomal RNA". It matches the Rfam family "Eukaryotic small subunit ribosomal RNA", at positions 30 to 432 of the family's 1831-position model. Lineage: Eukaryota; Synurophyceae; Ochromonadales; Ochromonadaceae. The record is from RNAcentral.
GCUUGUCUCAAAGAUUAAGCCAUGCAUGUCUAAGUAUAAACGACUUUAUACUGUGAAACUGCGAAUGGCUCAUUAUAUCAGUUAUAGUUUAUUUGAUGGUCCUUACUACUUGGAUAACCGUAGUAAUUCUAGAGCUAAUACAUGCGUCAAAACCCAACUUCUGGGAGGGUUGUAUUUAUUAGAUGGAAACCAAUGCGGGGCAACCCGGUAUAUGGUGAUUCAUAAUAACUUUCGGAUCGAUCUUCGGAUCGAUGCAUCAUUCAAGUUUCUGCCCUAUCAGCUUUGGAUGGUAGGGUAUUGGCCUACCAUGGCUUUAACGGGUAACGGAGAAUUAGGGUUCGAUUCCGGAGAGGGAGCCUGAGAAAUGGCUACCACAUCCAAGGAAGGCAGCAGG